GGGUCGUUAGCUCAGUUGGUAGAGCAGUUGACUUUUAAUCAAUUGGUCGCAGGUUCGAAUCCUGCACGACCUACCA
This 76-nucleotide transfer RNA is filed under the name Pantoea ananatis. RNAcentral describes it as "tRNA-Lys". It matches the Rfam family "tRNA". From Rfam's summary of the family: Transfer RNA (tRNA) molecules are approximately 80 nucleotides in length. Their secondary structure includes four short double-helical elements and three loops (D, anti-codon, and T loops). Lineage: Bacteria; Pseudomonadati; Pseudomonadota; Gammaproteobacteria; Enterobacterales; Erwiniaceae. The record is from RNAcentral. RNAcentral also lists the same sequence under 14 other names.